Molecule: ribosomal RNA, 424 nt
Filed under: uncultured bacterium
Lineage: Bacteria
Description: bacterial SSU rRNA
Rfam family: Bacterial small subunit ribosomal RNA
Source: RNAcentral
GUGGGGGAUAUUGCACAAUGGGCGCAAGCCUGAUGCAGCGACGCCGCGUGGAGGAAGAAGGUUUUCGGAUUGUAAACUCCUGUCUUCAGGGACGAUAAUGACGGUACCUGAGGAGGAAGCCACGGCUAACUACGUGCCAGCAGCCGCGGUAAUACGUAGGUGGCAAGCGUUGUCCGGAAUUACUGGGUGUAAAGGGAGCGUAGGCGGGAUUGCAAGUUAAAUGUGAAAUCUAUCGGCUCAACCGGUAGCUGCGUUUAAAACUGUAGUUCUUGAGUGAAGUAGAGGCAGGCGGAAUUCCUAGUGUAGCGGUGAAAUGCGUAGAUAUUAGGAGGAACACCAGUGGCGAAGGCGGCCUGCUGGGCUUUUACUGACGCUGAGGCUCGAAAGUGUGGGUAGCAAACAGGAUUAGAAACCCGAGUAGUCC